RNAcentral lists this transfer RNA (58 nucleotides) under Loxodonta africana (African savanna elephant). It matches the Rfam family "tRNA", at positions 8 to 63 of the family's 71-position model. From Rfam's summary of the family: Transfer RNA (tRNA) molecules are approximately 80 nucleotides in length. Their secondary structure includes four short double-helical elements and three loops (D, anti-codon, and T loops). Further hydrogen bonds mediate the characteristic L-shaped molecular structure. tRNAs have two regions of fundamental functional importance: the anti-codon, which is responsible for specific mRNA codon recognition, and the 3' end, to which the tRNAs corresponding amino acid is attached (by aminoacyl-tRNA synthetases). tRNAs cope with the degeneracy of the genetic code in two manners: having more than one tRNA (with a specific anti-codon) for a particular amino acid; and 'wobble' base-pairing, i.e. permitting non-standard base-pairing at the 3rd anti-codon position. The record is from Rfam by way of RNAcentral. Lineage: Eukaryota; Metazoa; Chordata; Mammalia; Proboscidea; Elephantidae.
UGGCAUAGUGGUUAAGCGUUUUGGCUGCUAACCAAAUGGUUGGCAGUUCAAAUCUGCC